This 467-nucleotide ribosomal RNA is filed under the name uncultured bacterium. RNAcentral's name for it is "partial 16S ribosomal RNA". It matches the Rfam family "Bacterial small subunit ribosomal RNA", at positions 28 to 507 of the family's 1533-position model. The record is from RNAcentral.
GAUGAACGCUGGCGGCGUGCUUAACACAUGCAAGUCGAACGGAAAGGCCCAAGCUUGCUUGGGUACUCGAGUGGCGAACGGGUGAGUAACACGUGGGUGAUCUGCCCUGCACUUCGGGAUAAGCCUGGGAAACUGGGUCUAAUACCGGAUAGGACCACAUUUUGGAUGGUGUGGUGGAAAGUUUUUCGGUGUGGGAUGAGCUCGCGGCCUAUCAGCUUGUUGGUGGGGUAAUGGCCUACCAAGGCGUCGACGGGUAGCCGGCCUGAGAGGGUGUACGGCCACAUUGGGACUGAGAUACGGCCCAGACUCGUACGGGGGGCAGCAGUGGGGAAGAUUGCACAAUGGGCGCAAGCCUGAUGCAGCGACGCCGCGUGGGGGAUGACGGCCUUCGGGUUGUAAACUCCUUUCGCUAGGGACGAAGCGUUUUUGUGACGGUACCUGGAGAAGAAGCACCGGCUAACUACGUG